UAAGAGUGGUCUUCCGCUGCAAGGGCAUGCUGUGCAAAGCAGACCUCGGCAGCUGGCACCUUUAGCUGUCGUUUAAAAAUGGGAUAACUGCAAAAUCCAUCAGAGAUAUGGCACUGGUUGAAGCAGAAACCCAGGAGACCAGCAGAGUCAACAGUCUAGUAAGGGAAGAGGCAAGACAAGCACGUCUGUACUGUGAAAGUAACCCCCUCUGCCCUGCAAGCACCGUGCAGCAUAUACUGUAGGGGUGGAAGACAAGAGCGGGGGAUGGUCUGGAAACUCACACGUCUCCUGAAAGUAGAAGUGAAAGUACAGAGGUGUUGGAGAGGAGAAAACUCCUGGCUCCGUGCUUACCUCCUGAGAGAGCUUCCUCUCUUUCCACAGGACCAGCAAGCCUUGUGGCCAGCAGUCCAGACUGCCAGCAUCAACCCUGCUGCCUGCAAUUGCAGCUGGGGCAGGAUGCUUUGGGCCAGUAAUGAAGAAAAAAUGAACAACCUGCAAGAAGGAAGGUUUUCUUUCCUAGCUGUGUGCAGGCAGACCCUAAAAACAGAAGCAGAACUGUGGACCUGAUACGUGCAGCAGGUGAGGUCGUCAGGAGACAGAAUGACUCUUACUGAGCCCGUCUUGAAGACAGUCACUGCUGUAGAAGAGCACUGAAGCACAGUAGUUUGCGUAGCGCUGGAUUUCCAACUUUGCCUUCGUAUGGCAUAGAAAAAUCCAGAGAAAUGCAAGAGAGCAGCUGAAGAGUGCAGGCCUGCAAGGAAGUCAAACUGAGUGAGCAUAGGCGAUCACAUCCCACUUCUUAAGGCCUCGGUUUUGCAGUCCCACUGAAAUGCUAUUUGUACCUGGGCUCGUGCAAGGAGAUGGGCUGUGUUUGUGACUGGUUUCCUGUGCUGAGUGAUGCUGUCACUGACUCGUGCAAGCAGCGCCCUGACAGCCAUGCUGCCUUCCUCCAGCAGCUGCGAGCAAGGAUUGCUUCUGUGCGGUGGGUAGGCUGAGAGUUCCCUUCUGUUGGUCCUGGUCUGGCAAAAUGUUUAGGGGAUGAGGCAGCUCUGCCCCUCAAGGUGUGAAGGCAGAGCUGCUCCAGCAGCAGGAGCACCUGGCUGGGCGGAGGGCCUCUCGCAGGGCUUAGGGCUGCAGAGAAGCCGCGUUUGUCCGGGGAACACCAGGCAGGGGACCAGGAGAGCGAGAAGGAGAGAAAGCAGAUGAGCCGCUAACAACUAAACGAGGUGGCAGCUGUCUCCUAUUGGCACCUGCGGCUUGUUGCGCUCACCGGCUGAAACGCCCUGCCCAGGAACAUCGCUUUGGGAAGGCUUUGCACUGCAAAGGGGGGGAAGGCUGUCGUAGGAACGCCGGCAGACCUCGAGGCGCUGAGCGGCCUCCCCUGCUGAGUCCCAGCGGGGAAACCGCCGCUGCGCAGCCCGCACGUUAACCCGAGCUGCGGCCCGUGCUCCACAGGCACGGGAGCGCUCAGAAGUUAAUUAAAUUCCCACCCACCACCUGGC
This 1502-nucleotide long non-coding RNA is filed under the name Gallus gallus (chicken). Its description in RNAcentral is "long non-coding RNA NONGGAT012118". The record is from RNAcentral. Lineage: Eukaryota; Metazoa; Chordata; Aves; Galliformes; Phasianidae.